This is a non-coding RNA of Sus scrofa (pig), 4103 nucleotides long. The record is from RefSeq and is a predicted model, not a curated record. NCBI's taxonomy places the organism in Eukaryota, Metazoa, Chordata, Mammalia, Artiodactyla, Suidae.
UGGCGCGGUGCGCGGCGCUGCCCCUUCUUCCGCGCCGCGCCUGCCCUGCGGGUUAUAAAACCGGGCCGCCGCCUCCCGACACACCCCCACCUCCCCGCCCCGCCGCGCUUCCUCCUCGGCUCCAAAGUCCCCCGACCGACCGCCGCGCGGGCCUAACGGAGCGGGGCGGGGACCGAGGCUUCCUGGCCCGCCCCGGGUAGGGGCGCUGGCUCGGGUGAGGGGCCGAAGCGGCCUUCUGCAAGAGGCAGCCCGUGGGUGGCGAAUGGGCCUUAGGUCAGGCUUUCCCAGGGGAGGCUAGAAAGGGGUACCGCUCCCAAAACACACGGCGCUGAAGCUGAGGGACCCAGCAGUUUGCUAGAACCCCCAAGCCUGCCCAGCGCGCCCCUCCUUCCGUCACACAGCCCGGCGCAGGGAACCCAGAGCCCAGCGCUCUCGGACGGGCAACCUUCCGGCCUAAUCGCCCCAGGCCUCUGUGGGGCUGGGAGUGACAAGGUGGGGGAGCUGUCCGCAGUGCCGCUAGGGCAGCAAGACAGGGUUAGGGAUCGUCACCGGCCCGGCUUCUUCACUAGGAUUGGGGGGAAGAGGGUGUGGCCUGCACGGGUCGGGGAGAGUUUAGGCUCCUGCAGGGCCUAGGGCGAUGCUCAGAGCCCUCAGCUCACCUGGGGACUGGAUGCCAGCGAUGUCAGCAAGAGGGAAAGAAUGAGGGGGCGGGGCCGAGAGGCCCGGAAACGCGGGCACACUUGCUUUCUUCCACUGGGGACACAGGCUGCCAUUAGCUCUGGCAGAAACCAUCACACAGACUUGCCGCCUUUGAGAGCUACAAAGAUGAGCACAGAGAUGAAACAGAAAGCAGUUUCCACUGGGCAGCACAAGGAUGGGAGCGGAGGCUGAAGAGCCGCAGCUGCCGAGUCAAGUCAGGCAGGCGGACUUCCGCUUAAGGAAGGUCUCGAGUUGGGCAGUGCCAAGACCUCAGCUCUACUCCAGCGCCAUCGGUGAAGGGGGACCCCCAGUCCGCUCUCCCUCCUGCCACCACGAGACCCUUUGCCCUUUUCUCUGCCUGCCUCCUGCAGCUUGAUCAGACAUCCACCUGAGAACCUUCCAGGAGGUGUGGAGUCCCUUCCCACUCCUGGGCCCAGUGGAGUCCCAGCUUCGACCACUGUCAGGUGCAUGAGGGAGUGACAGCAGCUCUCUGAUGGUCAGCUGGCAAGAGAGGCACUGGGGUUUCUGGGAGAAACCUCCUUGCAGAGGAAGCUGGAUGGGGCCUGGCUCAGUGGUGGGCCCACCCAGACCCAAUCAUCUUGCAGUGCCCCCAGCACUCGCACAGCAGGUCUUCAGUAUUUGCUGACUGACUCAAUGACUGACAGAUUCCAGGAGCAAAGUGGGAAGGUGGGAUGGAGGAUGCGACUGGGACACAAACCUCCUCAUGGUUUCCUUCCAGGUAACACCAAAGCAAUGGAUUACUGUCUCCCUAGCACCUGCGACAACGUCUGCCACAGACACAACCAACGUUGGGGUCAACCCAGGACUCACAGCCUGAGACGUCCGGCAGCCCAAUUCUCUUGCAUUCUGGAGGUCCCAGGUGACUCACUGUCGUCACUGAAAGCCUUGUGGUCAGUCCCCGCCUCGCUGCUACUCGCCACUGUCGCCGCUGCGCUGCUGGAUGCGCUGGCGGCUCCUGCUCCAGCUACUGAUUUUCUGGCCACCUCCGCUGCCCGUGAGGCUAGAAUACAGCAUUGUCCCCUGACCCGAGUGAUUAUUAGAAUUCCAUUUUAAGCUCAUCAAAGUAGGCAUGCACUUUCAGAUUCAGACACGUUUUCUUUUCAAGGAAGGUGGAGCAAGUUCCCCAGGGAGAGGCCUGAGGAUGCCGCCCCCUGCUGAAGGCCGAGCUCGCCCUCGCUGUACAGCUGGGCCAGAUGUGUCCUUUGACUACCUGCCACUCCAGCGCCGGGCCCACCUCCCAGAGCCGGCGCAGGCUUUGGUUCAGGAGAGUCGGCUCCUGUUCCGGCAGUACUGCUUGGGCCUCCUCCUCUGCUUUCCAGCCAACACUCCGGUCUCUGCUGUCCCUCUGCCACAUGAAUCCCUGCUGGCCCUCUGCCACAUGAAUCCCUGCUGGCCCUUCAGCUUUAUGCCAUGCCCCCAAAGCCUGCCCUGACCCUCACAUCAGGUUAAUCGCCCUUUCUAUGCACUGGUAGGGUCUGAAGAGUACAGGGCUGUGCCUGUCCUGUUCAUUGUCACAUCCCCAAUGUCACCUUGUGCUGAGCACAUUGAAGUGACUGGAUAAAAACUGUUUUAAAGAGUGAACAAAUUGUGUGUGUUGGCAUCUUACAGGCCUUAGGGAUGGGGAGCCCCAUAUCCAAUGCCUCUGGUAUUCCCUGCAGCUCAAGGUUAAGGCCUCUGCCUAAAGCACCUGUGGAACAGGAGCUAAGUGGGUGUUUCAGCCUGCUGAGGGUAGGGAAGCUCUGCUAGGAGGGGCCAGAACUGCUCGAAGGCCCUCCUGUCCUCCCCACACAAGAACAAGGGUAGGACUGACAGAGAAAAUACAGGACACCCAGUCACAUGUGCAUUUUGGAUAAACAUUGAAUAUAUUUUAAGUAUAUUGUUUGUCAUAUGUGGGACAUACUUAUGCCCCAAAAAAUUAAAUUCAAAUUUAAUCAGGCAUCUUGGGGUUUCUUCCUUCUUUCUAGGUCUUGGAACCCUAUCAAGGCAGACGUGAUCCACCAGGUGCUAGAGGAUCUGGGGUCCUUUUCCAAGGGACAUUCUGCACAUUGUCUGGGUUCCUCUUGCUCUUUAUAAACACUUUUGGCCAAAGAACAGGGCGAGCUCAAAGCUGGUUUCCCAGGGCCGUCACUAGCACACUUAAUCCAAGGUAUUGCCCUACAUCUCGACCCCUGACCCCAGCUACUGGACGUGAUAGUCCACGCAGGCCUUUCUGAAGAGGGGCUGUUUGUGUUGAGAUUUGAAGGAAUGAGUCAAGUGAUGAUGGAGAGAACAUUCCAGAGGAGGACGGGAGUGAACUUGGUGAGUCUGAGGAACAGAAAGGCUAGUGCCGUGAGUGUGGAAAAAGAAGGUUUGCAUGGAAAAGCUUGAGCCACAACUCUGGUCCCCAAGAAGGGGUCUAAAAGGCUGUACUCCUGGUCGAUCACCGCCUCCAGCUGUAACGUGAUGCUUUUCUGGUCUCCAAGGCAGCAGGGAUGGGGAAGGAAGAGAAUGGGUGUCUGCCAUCGUGGCUGGGGGGUUCUGGCAGCAGGGGGCCAGGCCAUGGGGCCCUGGUGCUUGACUGCAGUUUGGUGGGUUCACUACUCUUAAAAAUGGCAGGAUGGAGCCAUGAGUCCUUAGAGCUAAGUCCCAUGUGAACAGUCCCUGUGGAGGCACCCUAGCUUAGACAGCCACCUCCAUCCCCUUCUGAGAGCCCUGCUAAGGGGAAAGUGCUGCAGCCCAGGGCUGAAGGGACAUGGGGUGGGUGGGGAGGACCCAAAGGGCUCCAAGCCACCUCAGCAGGUGGCUUUGGAAGGGGCUAAAAGCCCUGCAUCAGGAAGCUCAAAUCAAGUCCCCAGCAAGCUCUGCACUUCUCUGCAGCCCUGCCCACCCCAGUCCUCCUCCUCCAAACCGAAAUAUGCAGGCCAAACAAUGGGAAAUGGCUCCGCUCCAAAGAUUCAACUCACAAGGCACGUGUUGCCUCCUGUUUGCCUGCUGGUAUGUGAAGGAAGCUGUUUCUUAAUUUAAAAUGUCCUUUAACUCCCUCCAGCUGGAAAGCUACCCCAACAAAACUUAUGUUUGUGGAGGAUUUAAGCUCUGUCACUCUGAGGGGGUGGGCCCAGCUGGGUUUGCCCCAUCUGGAGCUGUGCCCAGGCUAGUGGGCACCCUGGUGUCUUGCCAUGCCCUUAAGAGUCUGUUCUCUCUGUAAGGGGGUAUUGGUUCCCCAAGGCCCACCCUGGCCAGGGCUUUCUGGGAGCCAUCAGCCAGGCUCAUGGGAAGCACGCAGCCCUAGGGGAGGGGGAGGAGCGUGGGGGUGGAGGAGGGGUGUCCUUUUGCUGAGGCUCAUUUAUGUUUGGGGGGGGAGAGAAAGCCCCCUUUCCUUACUUCUGCCAGGCCCUUGGUGAGUC